Molecule: ribosomal RNA, 342 nt
Filed under: Pseudomonas sp.
Lineage: Bacteria; Pseudomonadati; Pseudomonadota; Gammaproteobacteria; Pseudomonadales; Pseudomonadaceae
Description: bacterial SSU rRNA
Rfam family: Bacterial small subunit ribosomal RNA
Source: RNAcentral
AGCGGUAGAGAGAAGCUUGCUUCUCUUGAGAGCGGCGGACGGGUGAGUAAUGCCUAGGAAUCUGCCUGGUAGUGGGGGAUAACGUUCGGAAACGAACGCUAAUACCGCAUACGUCCUACGGGCAGAAAGCAGGGGACCUUCGGNCCUUGCGCUAUCAGAUGAGCCUAGGUCGGAUUAGCUAGUUGGUGAGGUAAUGGCUCACCAAGGCGACGAUCCUUAACUGGUCUGAGAGGAUGAUCAGUCACGCUGGAACUGACACGCGGUCCAGACUCCUACGGGAGGCAUCGUUGGGGAAUAUUGGACAAUGGGGGAAAGCCUGAUCCGCCCAUGCCUCGUGUGUGA